ACACUUAAAGAUACUUUUGUUUUUGGUGGGUUGUCUGAAGCAUCACGCUGAGUUUGGAUUUAACUUUGUCGUCACACAGUGGAAUUGAGGCAACCACCCUCUUUAUCACACAUGCCUGUCACAAAACGACCCAUUUCACAGGCAAAUUGAGACUUACAGGGCGAACACUGACAAGAUUUCUUGAAUUGUUAUUUCAUGUCUGGAUAUUUCUUUGGGAACACCUCUUGCCUGGUUUCAUGAAGAGACCUGGGCUUGAUUGGGUGAUGGAUGUUGUUAUGUUCAAUUGGCAGAAAAAGAAUCAGUUACAAUAUCUGGAGAAAAUUCAUUUGUUUUUUCCACGUUUGAGAAACAUUUGGGCAGGUACAUGGAUAGGACACGUUUCGAGGAACAUGGGCCAAAUGCAGGCAGUUAGGACUAGUGUAGAUGGGACAUGUUGGCCAGUAUGGGUAAAGUUGGACAAGGGGCCUGUUUCUACACUGCAAUACCAUUUGAUUCCAUAACCAUGACUCUCACUUGUGGUCCGGCAGCGCAGAAAACUGAAUCGUUCUCAAUUGCUUAAAUCUGAUUGAAUCCAAACGGAUUAGCUGAUAUAACUGAAGAAGGCCCAAGUGAAUAGGAGCCAAACCUAGAAGUAACCAAUGAUUUCCAAUGGAAAGUAAUGCUCUUCGCAUACUUUCAGUUCGCGGAUAAUUUAAAAAAAGCAAAUUUGAAUUGUAAAAUUAGUAUAAACUUGGUUUUUGUAGGAUGGAGUAUUCAAAGUUUGCUCAGCACAUGAAGUAUUAAACUUGUUUCAACAUUUCACAUAACAAUAUAGUGUUCAUGAGCUCUUACCAGCAGCAGAACUGCAUAUUCGUGUUUAAAAUCUCUUGCAUAUUUGUUGUACAAGACAGUUUUUCUUCUAUCAUUUUUCAAAUAUUUCAUUAUCUAUAUAAUCCUUUACAUUACAGUUUCACAAGAGUUUUGGAAAGGCUAACUGUUUUGAAAGCAACUUAUCAGCAGUGUCGUCACAGUGCAGUAGUUCAUUCCCACUUCCUGCUCAUUUCCGCUUGUCGAUGUGGAAAUGGUAUUUGUGCAAGCAUGCAAGUAACCACUAUUAGAUCUUGCCAAGUUACACGAGUCAUUAAAAAUAUGAUCAUUGAAAUAAAGCCUCACAACAUGUACAAAUUGGAGAAACAACAUCCCAAUUCCUCUUGAACUUCAAGGCAAAUCUAUAAAUGCAGUGAAGCUGUGAUGUGCGUUAAAUUGUUGAUGUUGGAUUAUGUAUAUAAUAUGACGCAUUGUUUUCCAAUGAUCUUGCCUUAAUAUUUGCAAGGAUUGGGUCGUGAGGAGAUUUGUUUGUAGUCUUUAAAAGGUUCCCUUAAAAAAUAUAUAGACUAGGACAGAAUUCAGUUGAAAAAGCACAGAGCCCAGGUGCCUGCUAUUAGAUUAUUACUGCUGUCAUACUGUGUCUGCUGAAUAGAGUGAGAAUCAAAGAAAAAGUUGCUACCACACAUGAAAAUAAUUACAGUUUUAUAAACAUAAUAUUGUGGUAAUAUACUGAAACUUAAAGCAAAUCAUUGCUUUUAAAGAAAUCUUUUAAGUUCAGUUUUAUAUAUAAGAUAUAAUUAUUUUGUAAUUGUCCAGACUUUUGUGUACUCAUUCAUAACAAUUCUUUGUAAUUGCUUGAAGCUAAUUUAAAUGUGCUGUUCAAUGUCUUGGCUCAGGUAUUUCUGUGUAGUAUAAAUAUUAAUAUUUAUUGUUUCCAACUGGUUCAUACUUGAUGUGUUUUGUAAUGUGCACUGAGUUGUUGUUUGUGUCAAGUUGCAUUAAUAAUACUAGACUUUAUUGUAAAAUUUGCAUUUCUCAGCCCUGAUGAAGUGUACAUUUUUAUGUUUGUGAAGGUUGUACAUUGAUGGUUCUUCAUGUAAUUGCUAUUUCUUACACAAGGUGACAGACACAUGCAUUGAAUACUAUACAGUUUUUUGUAUGGUAGCAAAUAAAAACGAUAACCAAA
Amblyraja radiata (thorny skate) is the source of this 1993-nucleotide long non-coding RNA. RefSeq lists it as uncharacterized. NCBI's taxonomy places the organism in Eukaryota, Metazoa, Chordata, Chondrichthyes, Rajiformes, Rajidae. The transcript is spliced from 2 exons. The record is from RefSeq and is a predicted model, not a curated record.